RNAcentral lists this ribosomal RNA (1700 nucleotides) under Escherichia coli. RNAcentral describes it as "partial 23S ribosomal RNA". It matches the Rfam family "Bacterial large subunit ribosomal RNA", at positions 1 to 1744 of the family's 2925-position model. The record is from RNAcentral. Lineage: Bacteria; Pseudomonadati; Pseudomonadota; Gammaproteobacteria; Enterobacterales; Enterobacteriaceae.
GGUUAAGCGACUAAGCGUACACGGUGGAUGCCCUGGCAGUCAGAGGCGAUGAAGGACGUGCUAAUCUGCGAUAAGCGUCGGUAAGGUGAUAUGAACCGUUAUAACCGGCGAUUUCCGAAUGGGGAAACCCAGUGUGUUUCGACACACUAUCAUUAACUGAAUCCAUAGGUUAAUGAGGCGAACCGGGGGAACUGAAACAUCUAAGUACCCCGAGGAAAAGAAAUCAACCGAGAUUCCCCCAGUAGCGGCGAGCGAACGGGGAGCAGCCCAGAGCCUGAAUCAGUAUGUGUGUUAGUGGAAGCGUCUGGAAAGGCGCGCGAUACAGGGUGACAGCCCCGUACACAAAAAUGCACAUAUUGUGAGCUCGAUGAGUAGGGCGGGACACGUGGUAUCCUGUCUGAAUAUGGGGGGACCAUCCUCCAAGGCUAAAUACUCCUGACUGACCGAUAGUGAACCAGUACCGUGAGGGAAAGGCGAAAAGAACCCCGGCGAGGGGAGUGAAAAAGAACCUGAAACCGUGUACGUACAAGCAGUGGGAGCACGCUUAGGCGUGUGACUGCGUACCUUUUGUAUAAUGGGUCAGCGACUUAUAUUCUGUAGCAAGGUUAACCGAAUAGGGGAGCCGAAGGGAAACCGAGUCUUAACUGGGCGUUAAGUUGCAGGGUAUAGACCCGAAACCCGGUGAUCUAGCCAUGGGCAGGUUGAAGGUUGGGUAACACUAACUGGAGGACCGAACCGACUAAUGUUGAAAAAUUAGCGGAUGACUUGUGGCUGGGGGUGAAAGGCCAAUCAAACCGGGAGAUAGCUGGUUCUCCCCGAAAGCUAUUUAGGUAGCGCCUCGUGAAUUCAUCUCCGGGGGUAGAGCACUGUUUCGGCAAGGGGGUCAUCCCGACUUACCAACCCGAUGCAAACUGCGAAUACCGGAGAAUGUUAUCACGGGAGACACACGGCGGGUGCUAACGUCCGUCGUGAAGAGGGAAACAACCCAGACCGCCAGCUAAGGUCCCAAAGUCAUGGUUAAGUGGGAAACGAUGUGGGAAGGCCCAGACAGCCAGGAUGUUGGCUUAGAAGCAGCCAUCAUUUAAAGAAAGCGUAAUAGCUCACUGGUCGAGUCGGCCUGCGCGGAAGAUGUAACGGGGCUAAACCAUGCACCGAAGCUGCGGCAGCGACACUAUGUGUUGUUGGGUAGGGGAGCGUUCUGUAAGCCUGUGAAGGUGUGCUGUGAGGCAUGCUGGAGGUAUCAGAAGUGCGAAUGCUGACAUAAGUAACGAUAAAGCGGGUGAAAAGCCCGCUCGCCGGAAGACCAAGGGUUCCUGUCCAACGUUAAUCGGGGCAGGGUGAGUCGACCCCUAAGGCGAGGCCGAAAGGCGUAGUCGAUGGGAAACAGGUUAAUAUUCCUGUACUUGGUGUUACUGCGAAGGGGGGACGGAGAAGGCUAUGUUGGCCGGGCGACGGUUGUCCCGGUUUAAGCGUGUAGGCUGGUUUUCCAGGCAAAUCCGGAAAAUCAAGGCUGAGGCGUGAUGACGAGGCACUACGGUGCUGAAGCAACAAAUGCCCUGCUUCCAGGAAAAGCCUCUAAGCAUCAGGUAACAUCAAAUCGUACCCCAAACCGACACAGGUGGUCAGGUAGAGAAUACCAAGGCGCUUGAGAGAACUCGGGUGAAGGAACUAGGCAAAAUGGUGCCGUAACUUCGGGAGAA